RNAcentral lists this ribosomal RNA (497 nucleotides) under uncultured bacterium. RNAcentral describes it as "partial 16S ribosomal RNA". It matches the Rfam family "Bacterial small subunit ribosomal RNA", at positions 28 to 507 of the family's 1533-position model. The record is from RNAcentral.
GACGAACGCUGGCGGCGUGCCUAAUACAUGCAAGUAGAACGCUGAAGAGAGGAGCUUGCUCUUCUUGGAUGAGUUGCGAACGGGUGAGUAACGCGUAGGUAACCUGCCUUGUAGCGGGGGAUAACUAUUGGAAACGAUAGCUAAUACCGCAUAACAAUGGAUGACCCAUGUCAUUUAUUUGAAAGGGGCAAAUGCUCCACUACAAGAUGGACCUGCGUUGUAUUAGCUAGUAGGUGAGGUAACGGCUCACCUAGGCGACGAUACAUAGCCGACCUGAGAGGGUGAUCGGCCAAGCUGGGACGGGGACACGGCCCAGACUCCUACGGAAGGCAGCAGUAGGGGAUCUUCGGCAAUGGGGGCAACCCUGACCGAGCAACGCCGCGUGAGUGAAGGAGGUUGUCGGGUCGUAAAGCUCUGUUGUGAGUCAAGAACGUGUGUGAGAGUGGAAAGUUCACACUGUGACGGUAGCUUACCAGAAAGGUACGGCUAACUACGUG